Biomphalaria glabrata is the source of this 1176-nucleotide long non-coding RNA. RefSeq lists it as uncharacterized. The record is from RefSeq and is a predicted model, not a curated record. NCBI's taxonomy places the organism in Eukaryota, Metazoa, Mollusca, Gastropoda, Planorbidae. The transcript is spliced from 2 exons.
UUUGAUUUUCCGGUUGUGCUAGAUUUUUUUUGGUUUCCGGAACUGGUAGUUUACCGGCGUCAGUAUAUAAGCCCAGGACAAUAGGCAUUGUGUUCCAUUCUGAUAUUGUUUUCAAAAUCCAUGCUCAAAAGGAUAAUCAAAGCUUUUUUAUCGCGCAAGGACAGGAUAUUUAUUAAUUCUUUAGAUCUACAUCGCCAUAAAUUCUAUUGUUUUCAUGGAGAUCCAUCGUGUUGAGCAUACUGAGAACAUCAUUGGCGAUGGGCAUAACUAAAGGAGGCUGCGAUGUGACAUGAUUGUCAUACACACUAAUGUGACAGCAACAGACAGGGAUGUUAUAAAUACUUUUACAUAUUCUGACACCAUCAUUGGGCGCAAGCAAAAAAAAUCAUAUAUUGGAAAAUUAUUUUCGACCUGGUGACGUAUUACAUUUACUUACUGACGCCACAGAUCUAUAACAAAAAAAGUUUUGUGUUAACACAAAUCUCAGGUUUCAAAAUAAUAAAAGGAACAACACAAUUAAUUUCAUGCAUUUGUGUUGAAAAUUUUAUUUAUAUAGCUCUGAAAGUUAACAAAAUACAGCCUAUUAAUGAAAAAAAAAGUACUUUUUCUGUCAUUUUUUUUUUACAUGUUGUGUCACAUCAUAAAGUGUAAAAUAUUUUCUUGGACUUCUAUCUAUAAUUUAAAAGUAAAAUAAGUAUCAACAGAUAAUAAAGCAUCUCUGUUUAAAAUUGUAUUCAAUUAUCUCUUAAGGUUUAAAAGUUAGAGUCUUCUAAAUGUGAAAAAGUACUUCUUGUCGACCGUUUCUUUUUUUACAAGUAACCUCACUUUAAAAACGAAUAAGAACAUUAUGUCACAGUCUACCACUUGUUUGAAAUUGAAAUAAAUAUCAGGACAUAAUCAUGUAUUUCUGGUGAAAAUUACAUGCAAAUAACUCAAAUAGUAAAUAAGUUACAGCAUUUUUAAUGUGAAAUUUUCCUUUUUCGGUCACAAUUAAAAAAAAAUAAUAUAGGCAAAAUUUUCGCCACUAAAAUUGCUAUAACUUCUGUUCUAAUCAACUUAGAAACAUAAAUUAGGUAUCAAUAAACUCGGUUCCAAAAGCUCUAACUAACUAUAUUAGUUUCAAUACAAUAUAUUGAGUCUGAAAUUUUUAUCAAAGUACCUAAUUAAAUUUUAUUU